Molecule: long non-coding RNA, 378 nt
Organism: Ficedula albicollis (Collared flycatcher)
Lineage: Eukaryota; Metazoa; Chordata; Aves; Passeriformes; Muscicapidae
Exons: 3
Source: RefSeq, a predicted model, not a curated record
CAGGGAGAGGAUUGCUUUUGAGAUGACGAAAGUUCAGAUUCAAUGCCAUGUACUAGACACACUGAGGUACAGAAGAAGGACUUGGUGAUGCUUGGCUCCCACCUGUGCUCUGCAGUGAGACAUGACAAAGCCCAAUCCUCAAGCCUCCUUCCUGAAAUCAGGGUUGGGAUCCUCCUGUCACCACCUGCCUUUGGUGAAACAGCCAAGCAGAGCCUUUCUGGAGCUGUGAUGUGUUGGAACUUUACAGAGGAUGAGGGAGGUCCACACCACAGAAGAAACACCCACAAAACUGAGUUUAGACAUCCCCUGGAGAUCAUGGGAACCAGAAUCAGCAGUGAGGGAUGUUAAAGAGGAACUGGCACAGUGGAGGCAACCACA